GACGAACGCUGGCGGCGUGCUUAACACAUGCAAGUCGAACGGAAAGGCCCUGCUUUUGUGGGGUGCUCGAGUGGCGAACGGGUGAGUAACACGUGAGUAACCUGCCCUUGACUUUGGGAUAACUUCAGGAAACUGGGGCUAAUACCGGAUAGGAGCUCCUGCUGCAUGGUGGGGGUUGGAAAGUUUCGGCGGUUGGGGAUGGACUCGCGGCUUAUCAGCUUGUUGGUGGGGUAGUGGCUUACCAAGGCUUUGACGGGUAGCCGGCCUGAGAGGGUGACCGGCCACAUUGGGACUGAGAUACGGCCCAGACUCCUACGGGAGGCAGCAGUGGGGAAUAUUGCACAAUGGGCGGAAGCCUGAUGCAGCAACGCCGCGUGCGGGAUGACGGCCUUCGAGUUGAAAACCGCUUUCGCCUGUGACGAAGCGUGAGUGACGGUAAUGGGUAAAGAAGCACCGGCUAACUACGUG
RNAcentral lists this ribosomal RNA (468 nucleotides) under uncultured bacterium. RNAcentral describes it as "partial 16S ribosomal RNA". It matches the Rfam family "Bacterial small subunit ribosomal RNA", at positions 28 to 507 of the family's 1533-position model. The record is from RNAcentral.